UACAGAGGGGGCAAGCGUUAUUCGGAAUUAUUGGGCGUAAAGGGCGCGUAGGCGGCCUGGCAAGUGGAAGGUGAAAUCCCUCGGCUUAACCGAGGAACUGCCCUCCAAACUGCUUGGCUUGAGUCCGGGAGAGGUGAGUGGAAUUCCCAGUGUAGCGGUGAAAUGCGUAGAUAUUGGGAGGAACAUCAGUGGCGAAGGCGGCUCACUGGACCGGAACUGACGCUGAGGCGCGAAAGCGUGGGGAGCAAACGGG
Molecule: ribosomal RNA, 253 nt
Filed under: uncultured bacterium
Lineage: Bacteria
Description: partial 16S ribosomal RNA
Rfam family: Bacterial small subunit ribosomal RNA
Source: RNAcentral